This 68-nucleotide transfer RNA is filed under the name Marmota monax (woodchuck). RNAcentral's name for it is "tRNA.Ala". Lineage: Eukaryota; Metazoa; Chordata; Mammalia; Rodentia; Sciuridae. The record is from RNAcentral.
GGAUUGUGGCUCAGCGGUAGAGCACUUGUCUAGCAUGUGCAAGGCCCUGGGUUUGAUCCUCAGCACCA